AUGGAUUGGUUUGCAUUAGUUUGGUGUUUCUCACUCCUGACAGGUUUUCUGCCUCCUUACAGCGUCUUCACGACAGCAGACAACAGCACAAUUUUAGUCACUGCAGUCAACACAACGAGCGACAAUACAACAUCUAGCCCGCCGGACAGAAACUCUACUAAUAUAACUCCACUCACUUCAACUGCAUCCCUCAUUAUCACAAACAGCAGUGCUGCAACUACAUCAACAAGUCUCACCACUUCAGCAUCUACAGUUGCUACAGGUUGUUCGGGUCCACCAGAUCUAUGUUGCCCAGGGCGCAACGACUCCUGCUACAGAGGGUGUUUCUGUGACGAGAUCUGCGUGACAUUGGGUGACUGCUGUCCUGACUAUAAUUCAACCUGUAAACAAUCAAACAGUACAACACUUGCACCACUUAAUGUGACCACAACCUCAGGAUCCAGUCUUUCUUCAACAUUUUCUCCCACCUCUAGUAAUUCAGCUAUAGCGAUUGUUCGCCUAAAAGUUUCCUUACUAUCUAAUUCUGAAGCCAAAGAACGAGCGAUUUUAGAAAUUUCAUCUUUUCUUCAGAGACUUGUCCAGCAGAGAUGUAAUGGCUGCGCCGUGACGGUAAAACCUGUGUGAGGCUUUGGACAAUUAAGUAAUUAGAAUGAGGCAACAUGAUGAUGACAGACUCCAACACUCACAAUAAAAUCUAAUCAAACCGGUAAAGCUAAUUGAUUAUUUCAGAAUUAAUAAGGUGACAGACAUUUGUUCUUAAGUUACCAGUAUAUGCAUGUUUCUAAGUUCUUAUAAUCAGGCCAACAAAAGCUUAUAUUUAAGGAUGUAUUACACAGUUAUGAAUAUUUACCAUAUAUAGAGAUAAAGGGUUUUUUUAGGUGGAGGUACAAGAUUUUUUUUAAAUAAAGUUUAAUAAUGGAAUGAUUUUUUUAAAAAAGAAAAGAAAUUCUGACAAUCAUUUGACAGAAGAAUAACUCACCAUACAAAUCCAGUCUGCGCGGGUCAAGGAACGAGACACACUGCCAAACAUGUUUGCAAUCCUCUAUUUUUUUCUGUGUUACAUUAAGUUGUGGAAGUUAAGCGGCUGCAAUAAAAUUAUAACGCAUUAUUUAAAAUGAAAUUUUAGCAGUGCCAUGAGAAUUUUCCAGAUGAUAUGUGAUGUAAUUACAUUAAAGUAACAUGUAAUAUAUAAUUCCUUUGAUCUGGUGUAAUUUCUUCAUUUUUUUAAUUCCUCACCUGCUAAUAAGGGAAAUCAAGGAAAACAACAUUCAUGACUUAACCUCUUCCACAUCUGACAUGAUUAAUGUAAUCUUUUUUAAACAGCAUGUUGAUUAUAGGAAAAAAGUCUUUAUUUGUUCAUGAAUGUUUUUUUCUUUUUAAAAUGUCUAUUUGGCUGUGUUAUAUGGGUUGAAUUGAUUGAUUUGAUCUUCUUUUUCUGUUUUUAUAUGCAUAUAUAAAACAUAAUUUUUUUCUUUUACUUAUUUCAAGCAAAAAUAUCUUGUAUUAAGUAGAACAAGUGCCAAUGGAACAAGUGAAAAUUCACCAGUUUCAAGAUGCACUGUCUAAAACCAAGUUCCUAUAUCUCACGGAAACGUUACUCUGUAGCUGAAUGUGUCUUAUUUUAAUGUAAUGUAAUGAGAUUAUUUUGACUAGAAAUAAGACAAAUAUACUUUGUAAAAUUUUGAGUGUUUGUAGUGCAACCACUGGAGGCAGAAGUGAAAUAGAACUAUUCUGUACAUCUUAAAUACAACUCAGAAUUGUAAAAAAAAAAAAGAAAAGAAAAAAAAAAGUAUUAUUAUUGAAGCACAGACUCCGACAUGAGUUGGAUCAGAGUGUGUAGCCAUCAAGCAGGAGUGGAAGGUUAAUAACAAUGGGCAGAAACAAUCUGAGAGGCAGAGGUGGGAAAUGAGAAAGAGUGAGAUCUGGAACAGAAGUCUGAGGAACAAGAGCAGAAGCAAAAACUCAGCUUUUGUUUUUGUUCCCCACUUGUCACUUAUUCCAACCUGCCCAAGUUUCCAUUGUCACUUUAUCUAAUCACAAAGUGAUUUAUUCUUAUUUGAUAAGAGGGUUUUGUUUCAGGACUCUUUCCUCUCGUUAUGGCUGAAUCAGUAAAAGGACUAGAUGUUACAGUCCCUGAUAAUGCAUUGCUUUAAAUGGAGUGAAUCUUGAGGGAUGACUUUUAUGAGGAAAGGCAGCCCAGAAAC
Oreochromis niloticus (Nile tilapia) is the source of this 2204-nucleotide long non-coding RNA. NCBI's taxonomy places the organism in Eukaryota, Metazoa, Chordata, Actinopteri, Cichliformes, Cichlidae. The record is from Ensembl.